GGCGUAGGUAGGAGCUGACGUCAGCGGGCGGCGCGCUGUCUGCACUGCGGCUUCCACCGCUUUUUCAGAGCCGGGGUUACUGGCGGCGGGGGUAGCCCUGUUGCCGUUUUACGCCCAGCGGGCUCCUCGUAGCGCGGGAAGCCGCUUCGCAUUGUCCCGGGGUUGGCUCUGGCGAGACGGGCUGUCUGCCGUACUGCGCUCUCCUACCCUCUUUUCUGUCCAAAAUGCCCUGAUACCAAAGGAAAAGGAAUAUGGACCCCAGGGAUCUGGAGCCUUAACUGAUCAUUGCUGAGCCAACUCAAAUUAUGUUUCUCUUUUCUUUUUAAUGUCUUCAGUUUUACUCUUAAAAAUCUAUGCAUAGCAUGUUCUAAUGUGAGAAUUGUUUGUUUUGGACACACCUCCAUCUCUUUGAGUAAAAUUGGAAACUCAGGCUCCUGAUUGAAUUAAUGCUUUAUGUUACAACGCAGUGUUCCCCAUAAAGCUGAGAUAUGCUCACCGGUGAGACUUGCAUGAAAUUUGAGAGUGAAGCCAAAGUAAAAACCAAAGUUUGUUUUGAGGAAUUGCUUAAGACCCACAGUGACCUAAUAUGCGAAAGAAAAAAACUGAAGAAAAACAUUGGCAAAUCUAGAGGAAAAAUCUCACUUGACACUGUUAGAAGCAAUCUUCAGAAAAUUGAGGAAACUAAAAGUGAAGUAGUUGCUGCUAACACUAAAAACCCAGAGAAGAGAUUGCCAGUCUCUAAAAGCAAACCAAGCAAUUCACAGUCAACAGCUGAAAAUCCAGAUGGUGACAUAAGUGUAGAGAAAGACAAACAAGAAAAGGAAAAUAAGAAGGUUAAAAAGAUAGUGUGCCAAGAAAUGGAACUGGAAACUCCUGGGAAGAAGGUGGAGAAGGCACAGCCAGGUGUUCAUCAGAAAAAUGAGAUGGCAAGCAAAGAAAAAGAAAAUAAUAAUUUAGAUGAGGAAGAAGUACUGAAGCAAGUAUACCACUCCCAGGUAGCUGAAGAAAUGGCAAAGGAGAUUAAGAAGAAAAUAAGAAAGAAGCUCAAAGAACAGUUGACUUACUUUUCCUCAGAUACUUCCUUGCAUGAUGACAAAUUGAGCAUUGAAAAAAGGAAAAAGAAAAAAAAGAAAGUUCCAAUCCUGUCUAACGCUGAAACAAGUACAUUGCCCAUCUCUGAUGUCACAAUUGAAGGUAAACAAAAGAAGGAAUGUCCAGUUGGAACAGUUUCUUCAGAUUCUCAUCAAAACGAUGAAAUAACCUCAGUGAAACAAAACAUAGAAGACAGCAUGCAAGAUGACACAACAUCCAAACCAAAAAAAAAGAAAAAGAAGCCUAAAGCAGUUUCAGAUGAUUAUGAAGGCACUGAUGCUAAUGAUGGUGUUCAUGAAAUAACAAGUCGAGAUAGUCCAGUUUAUCCCAAAUGUUUGCUUGAUGAUGACCUUGUCCUGGGAGUUUACAUUCACCGAACUGAUCGACUAAAGUCAGAUUUUAUGAUUUCUCACCCAAUGGUAAAAAUUCACGUGGUUGAUGAGAAUACUGGUCAAUAUGUCAAGAAAGAUGAUAGUAAACGGCCUGCUUCAUCCUACUUUGAAAAAGACAAUGUGGAUUAUAUUCUUCCUAUUAUGACUCAGCCGUAUGAUUUUAAACAGUUAAAAUCAAGGCUUCCAGAAUGGGAAGAACAAAUUAUAUUUAAUGAAAACUUUCCCUAUUUGCUUCGAGAAUUUGAUGAGAGCCCUAAAGUCAUCCUGUUCUUCGAGAUUCUUGAUUUCUUAAGCAUGGAUGAAAUUAGGAAUAACUCAGAAAUUCAAAACCAAAAAUGUGGCUUUCGGAAAAUUGCCUGGGCAUUUCUCAGGCUUCUAGGAGCCAAUGGAAAUGUAAACAUCAAUUCAAAACUUCGCUUGCAGCUGUAUUACCCACCAGCAAAGCUUCGAUCCCACUUAGAUGUCGUUGAGGUUUUUGAAUGGUGGUCAAAAUGCUCAAGAAAUCGUUAUCCAUCUACGUUGUAUGUAACUGUAAGAGGAUUGAAAGUUCCAGAAUAUAUAAAGCCGUCUUACCGGUCUAUGAUGGUGCCUCAGGAGGAAAAAGGGAAACCAGUGCAUUGUGAACAACACCGUGAGUCAAGUUCAGUAGAGACAAAACCUGGAUUAGAAGAUUCAAAGGACGUAGUGAAGUGGAAACGAUUACCUGGGCAGGCUUGCCGUAUCCCAAACAAGCAGCUCUUCUCACUAAAUGCUGGAGAAAGGGGAUGUUUUUGUCUUGCUUUCUCUCACAAUGGAAGAAUACUAGCAGCAGCCUGUGCCAGCCGGGAUGGAUAUCCAAUUAUGUUAUAUGAAAUUCCUUCUGGACGUUUCAUGAGAGAAUUGUAUGGCCACCUCAAUAUCAUUUAUGAUCUUUGCUGGUCAAAAGAUGAUCGCUAUAUCCUUACUGCAUCAUCUGAUGGCACUGCCAGGAUAUGGAAAAAUGAAGUAGACAGUACAAAGACUUUCAGAGUUUUACCUCACCCUGCUUUUGUUUACACGGCUAAAUUCCAUCCAGCUGUAAAAGAGCUGGUGGUUACAGGAUGCUAUGAUUCUGUGAUACGCAUAUGGAAAGUUGAUAUGAGAGAGGAUAGUGCCAUAUUGAUCCGACAGUUUGACACACACAGGAGUUUCAUCAACUCUCUCUGUUUUGAUGUUGAAGGUCAUCACAUGUAUUCAGGAGACUGCAUGGGGGUGGUCGUGGUUUGGAACACCUACGUCAAAGUUAAUGAUGUGCAGCAUUCAGUGCGCCACUGGAGUGUAAAUAAGGAAAUUAAAGAGAGUGAGUUUAAGGGGAUUCCAAUAAGUUAUUUGGAGGUUCAUCCCAAUGGAAAACGUUUGUUAAUCCAUACCAAAGACAGUACUUUGAGAAUUAUGGAUCUCCGAAUAUUAGCAGCAAGGAAAUUUGUAGGAGCAGCAAAUUAUCGGGAGAAGAUUCAUAGUACUUUGACACCAUGUGGGACUUAUCUCUUUGCUGGAAGUGAGGAUGGGACAGUGUAUGCUUGGAAACCAGAAACAGGAGAACAAGUAGCCAUGUAUUCUGACCUGCCAUAUAAGUCACCCAUUCGAGACAUUGCUUAUCAUCCAUUUGAAAAUAUGGUUGCAUUUUGUGCAUUUGGGCAUAAUGAGCCAAUUCUUCUGUAUAUUUAUGACUUCCAGGUUGCUCAGCAAGAGGCUGAAAUGUUCAAAUGCUACAAUGGAACAUUUCCAUUCCCUGGAAUACACCAAAGUGAAGACGCGUUAUGUACCUGUCCUAAACUGCCUCAACAAGGCUCUUUUCAGAUUGAUGACUAUGUCCCCACUGAAGAUUCUUCAGUGAAAAUGCAGCUAGUGAAACAAAGGCUCAAUUCUGUUACAGAGGUGAUGCGAGCCAGUGCUGCAAAGGUCAACAAAAAUCUUUCAUUUACUUCAACAAUAUCCUCCUCACAACAAUCUAAGGCAAAACAGCCAAACAUGCUGGACUCUCGUCAGAUUCUGCAUCAGUUUGGUUUCACUCAGACCGGAAUUGUCAACGUAGAAACAGUGCCUUGUAACCAUCAUGUAGAUGGACCACCAACGGUAGUGGCUCUUUAUGACUACACAGCGAAUCGAUCAGAUGAACUAACCAUCCAUCGCGGAGACAUUAUCAGAGUGUUUUUCAAAGAUAAUGAAGACUGGUGGUAUGGCAGCUUAGGAAAGGGACAGGAAGGUUAUUUUCCAGCUAAUCAUGUGGCUAGUGAAACACUGUAUCAAGAACUGCCUCCAGAGGUAAAGGAGCGAUCCCCUCCUUUAUCCCCCAAGGAAAAAACCAAAAUGGGAAAACCUUCAUCUUCCAAAAAGUCAGUCCAUAAGGACAAGUCCAAGGAUUUUAAAUGGGGCUCAGACUCUAUGACACAUAAAGAGUUGAAGAAUAAUGAAGAGACAAAAAACCAAAUACACAGAAAUGAAAUGACAAAUGAAACCAAAUGGAAUUACUCUUCAAAGUUCACAACUUUCAGAAACUAAGGAAGAAAGGAAGAAUCCACUAUUCUCAUUCUUAUGAAAGAAUCUAGAAAAAUCAGAAGCAAGUAUGACCUGGCAUGGCACUACGUUCUUCAUGUGAUCGGUUUCCACUAAUAGGAUGCGUUCAUGUGAAAUUUGGAAGCAGAAAUGAGAUGGAAGAUAAUGUUUCUGUGCUGGUUGCUGCUGGCCAGCACCGUUGUGCUCCAAAGUCCAGUCACUUGCUGCGAUGAGAAUGGCGAGUGUGAGCUGGCGCAUACGCAUUUUGCUGUCACAGACGGAGUAGGCACAGCAUAGCUCUGGAGCCACUGUUUGCAGGGACAGGAGCGUCUGUCACAGGUAGGGCAGGCUCUUGCUGAAAUCAACAGUGCGAAAUGUGGCCUUUAGAUUCCCCACUUUUCUUAUUCCCAAAUGGGCCACUCUACAAUGUUGUUUCUUCCUGGAGGUUCACCUAGAGUCUGCUUCUCAUGUCCUUGCAAAAAAGGUUUAAAAAAACUCAGUUCCCUAUAUUAUGUCCCUUUCUGGUUGAAAUACCCAGAGAGCUCACUGUUUCCUGCACCUGAACCCCAACCAGUGCCUUCAUCUCUCUCAUAUUCAUCUUAUCCUUUCCAACCCUACCAGUCUGCCCUUAUUCAGGCCCUCUUUUUAAUCUCUCCCCUGCCCUCUCUAAUAUGGUUUCCAGAUGAGCAUCAACUCACGCUCUUUAUACAUUUAUUUUUUCUCUGUUCUUUACUCUCCACUCAGAAUUGUCCUCUUCCCUGUGGGUUCACAUUUUCCCAUGUAGAGUUAGUCUUUUCCCAAAGAGUUAGGUAACAUUAGCACAUCCUGUGGGAAAUUCAAUGCCAAAUAUCCAAUAUGGAAAGUCUAUAGAAUUUCUUUAAAUUCUCAAGAAGCUUACAUCCAUUUUCUACCUUCUGUUUCCAUUGAAUUCUUCAUUUCUUGAUUUCACACAUUCUGCAUAUUCUCAUAAAGCCUUUUUAUGCAUAGAAGACCUACUGAACAGCUGCAUACAAACUCUUUAAAAAAAAAAAAAGUACUGUAUCUUCUCUGCCAUGCAACUCAGUAUACCCUGAUUUCAUCCUUUCUUGUCUAUUCACUGCCCCUCACUCUCUCAGAGAGAAAAGACAAUUCUUUAAUUUUCCAAUGCACUUCAUUUCUUCCACCCUGUUACAGACCUUGUCUUAUCUUGCCACAUCCAAUUGUCCAAUCAAGGCUUUCUUCCUAUACAAUGACACUACUUCUCAAAGAAGACUUCUUCUAGAGCUCAGUUUGGGAAUAUGAGCUGACAAGAGCUAAAUUACUCUGCAUAAUUGUAUCGAGGCCCUGGGAGUCCAUGGGAGCAAUCUGGGAGAAGAGGGGGCGCAUGAAAAUGGCUGGAAGCCAGGACACUCCACGAGGUGGUCUGGCCAAUGAAAAUUCCCAGGGAAAUGAGGAAAGGACUUUCAAGGACAAACGUGUCUCACAUGGACUUAAAGUGCUGGAGAACAUGUAGUGUUUAGGAGCACAGGCUGUCCCUGCCUAUUCAGCUCCACCGCUAACCAGCUCUGUGAUUGGGAAGUUCCUUCAUCUCAUUUAGCUUCAAUUUCUUCUUUGACAAAUGGGAUAAUAACUGUUUUUUAAAAAGUCUAUUUCCAAUGACUACAGACGGAUCAAAUAAGAUAAUAGAUGAAAAAGGUCUUAAAAAACAAGCCCAUUGGAAACGUUGGCUAGGAUAUUGACACAAACAACAAAUCUGGGCAGAUGCUGUUACUGUUGUCUCGUAAAUCAUUCUUGUCUCCACAAAUCUUCAAUUAAAACUCUAUCGGUUUGUU
This is an RNA transcript of Rhinolophus ferrumequinum (greater horseshoe bat), 5809 nucleotides long. It is a transcript of the gene named Abelson helper integration site 1, with no coding region annotated. NCBI's taxonomy places the organism in Eukaryota, Metazoa, Chordata, Mammalia, Chiroptera, Rhinolophidae. The record is from RefSeq and is a predicted model, not a curated record. The transcript has 27 exons.